RNAcentral lists this ribosomal RNA (1076 nucleotides) under uncultured bacterium. RNAcentral describes it as "bacterial SSU rRNA". It matches the Rfam family "Bacterial small subunit ribosomal RNA", at positions 66 to 1139 of the family's 1533-position model. The record is from RNAcentral.
GGGGCAGCGCUGAGGUGGCAACACCCUGGCGGCGACCGGCGGAAGGGUGCGUAACACGUGAGCAACUUGCCCGUAUCCGGGACAUAACCGGCGGAAACGCCGACUAAUUUCCCAUAACAGCGUGGGCCGCAUGGCCCUCGUUUGAAAGACACGUCGGAUGCGGAUAGGCUCGCGGGACAUUAGCUGGUUGGAGUGGUAACGGCACACCAAGGCUACGAUGUCUAGGGGUUCUGAGAGGAAGGUCCCCCACACUGGAACUGAGACACGGUCCAGACUCCUACGGGAGGCAGCAGUGAGGAAUAUUGGUCAAUGGGCGGAAGCCUGAACCAGCCAUGCCGCGUGAAGGAAUGAGGCCCUACGGGUCGUGAACUUCUUUUGUGGCGGAGCAAUAAGGGCCACGUGUGGUCCGACGAGAGUACGUCACGAAUAAGCACCGGCUAACUCCGUGCCAGCAGCCGCGGUAAUACGGAGGGUGCAAGCGUUAUCCGGAUUUAUUGGGUUUAAAGGGUGCGUAGGCUGUCCGACAAGUCAGGGGUGAAAGCCCGGCGCCCAACGCCGGAACCGCCCUUGAUACUGCCGGGCUGGAAUGCGGAUGCCGUGGGAGGAAUGAGUAGUGUAGCGGUGAAAUGCAUAGAUAUUACUCAGAACACCGAUUGCGAAGGCAUCUCACGAAUCCGCCAUUGACGCUGAGGCACGAAAGCGUGGGUAGCGAACAGGAUUAGAUACCCUGGUAGUCCACGCAGUAAACGAUGAUGACUAACCGUCGGCGAUACACUGCCGGUGGCCAAGCGAAAGCGAUAAGUCAUCCACCUGGGGAGUACGUUCGCAAGAAUGAAACUCAAAGGAAUUGACGGGGGCCCGCACAAGCGGAGGAACAUGUGGUUUAAUUCGAUGAUACGCGAGGAACCUUACCCGGGCUCGAACGGCAGCUGAACGAGGCGGAGACGCCGAGGCCCUCCGGGGCGGCUGUCGAGGUGCUGCAUGGUUGUCGUCAGCUCGUGUCGUGAGAUGUUGGCUUAAGUGCCAUAACGAGCGCAACCCUUGCCGCCAGUUACCAUCAAGUGAAGUUGGGGACU